CCUACGGGGUGCAGCAGUGAGGAAUAUUGGUCAAUGGGCGAGAGCCUGAACCAGCCAAGUCGCGUGAAGGAUGAAGGAUCUAUGGUUUGUAAACUUCUUUUAUAUGGGAAUAAAGUGAGGAACGUGUUCCUUUUUGUAUGUACCAUAUGAAUAAGCAUCGGCUAACUCCGUGCCAGCAGCCGCGGUAAUACGGAGGAUGCGAGCGUUAUCCGGAUUUAUUUGGUUUAAAGGGUGCGUAGGUGGUUAAUUAAGUCAGCGGUGAAAGUUUGUGGCUCAACCAUAAAAUUGCCGUUGAAACUGGUUGACUUGAGUAUAUUUGAGGUAGGCGGAAUGCGUGGUGUAGCGGUGAAAUGCAUAGAGAUCACGCAGAACUCCGAUUGCGAAGGCAGCUUACUAAACUAUAACUGACACUGAAGCACGAAAGCGUGGGUAUCAAACAGGAUUAGAUACCCUUGUAGUC
This 460-nucleotide ribosomal RNA is filed under the name uncultured bacterium. Its description in RNAcentral is "partial 16S ribosomal RNA". It matches the Rfam family "Bacterial small subunit ribosomal RNA", at positions 338 to 795 of the family's 1533-position model. The record is from RNAcentral.